UUAGCAGCCCUGGAGACCAAAGACCUCUGGUUAUCCACAUAAGAAGUAGAGGCAGUACAAGCCUUCCACCCCGCACCAAGACUUCUUCUUCGGAGGGACCACACUUUGGAGGAAUAUGAGGGUAGCUCUGUCUUCAUGCCCAUUCAGUCCUUGGCCUUU
Molecule: small RNA, 159 nt
Filed under: Chelonoidis abingdonii (Abingdon island giant tortoise)
Lineage: Eukaryota; Metazoa; Chordata; Testudines; Testudinidae
Description: TUC338 (ENSCABG00000009970.1)
Source: RNAcentral